This 433-nucleotide ribosomal RNA is filed under the name uncultured bacterium. RNAcentral's name for it is "partial 16S ribosomal RNA". It matches the Rfam family "Bacterial small subunit ribosomal RNA", at positions 29 to 507 of the family's 1533-position model. The record is from RNAcentral.
AACGAACGCUGGCGGCAUGCCUAACACAUGCAAGUCGAACGAGACCUUCGGGUCUAGUGGCGCACGGGUGCGUAACGCGUGGGAACCUGCCCUUAGGUUCGGAAUAACUCCCCGAAAGGGGUGCUAAUACCGGAUAAUGUCUUCGGACCAAAGUUUUAUCGCCUUUGGAUGGGCCCGCGUUGGAUUAGCUAGUUGGUAGGGUAAAAGCCUACCAAGGCGACGAUCCAUAGCUGGUCUGAGAGGAUGAUCAGCCACACUGGGACUGAGACACGGCCCAGACUCCUACGGGAGGCAGCAGUGGGGAAUAGUGGACAAUGGGCGAAAGCCUGAUCCAGCAAUGCCGCGUGAGUGAUGAAGGCCUUAGGGUUGUAAAGCUCUUUUACCCGGGAUGAUAAUGACAGUACCGGGAGAAUAAGCUCCGGCUAACUCCGUG